GACGAACGCUGGCGGCGUGCUUAACACAUGCAAGUCGAACGGUGAAGCGCCUUCCUUUUUGGUGGGUGUGGAUGAGUGGCGAACGGGUGAGUAACACGUGAGUAACCUGCCCCCUUCUUCUGGAUAACCGCAUGAAAGUGUGGCUAAUACGGGAUAUUCUGGGUCUGUCGCAUGAUGGGUCUGGGAAAGAUAUUGUUUCGGUGGGGGAUGGGCUCGCGGCCUAUCUGCUUGUUGGUGGGGUGAUGGCCUACCAAGGCGGUGACGGGUAGCCGGCCUGAGAGGGUGGACGGUCACACUGGGACUGAGACACGGCCCAGACUCCUACGGGAGGCAGCAGUGGGGAAUAGUGCACAAUGGGCGCAAGCCUGAUGCAGCGACGCCGCGUGAGGGAUGGAGGCCUUCGGGUUGUGAACCUCUUUCGCCAGUGAAGCAGGCCUGCCUCGUUUGUGGGUGGGUUGACGGUAGCUGGAUAAGAAGCGCCGGCUAACUACGUG
RNAcentral lists this ribosomal RNA (494 nucleotides) under uncultured bacterium. RNAcentral describes it as "partial 16S ribosomal RNA". It matches the Rfam family "Bacterial small subunit ribosomal RNA", at positions 28 to 507 of the family's 1533-position model. The record is from RNAcentral.